GGAGAGAUGACUGAGUGGACGAAGGUGAUGGUUUGCUAAAUCAAUGUACGUUAGUAUCGUACCACGGGUUCGAAUCCCGUUCUCUCCU
RNAcentral lists this transfer RNA (88 nucleotides) under Nanobdellota archaeon. Its description in RNAcentral is "tRNA-Ser". It matches the Rfam family "tRNA". From Rfam's summary of the family: Transfer RNA (tRNA) molecules are approximately 80 nucleotides in length. Their secondary structure includes four short double-helical elements and three loops (D, anti-codon, and T loops). The record is from RNAcentral. Lineage: Archaea; Nanobdellati; Nanobdellota.